This 57-nucleotide transfer RNA is filed under the name Ovis aries (sheep). It matches the Rfam family "tRNA", at positions 8 to 63 of the family's 71-position model. From Rfam's summary of the family: Transfer RNA (tRNA) molecules are approximately 80 nucleotides in length. The record is from Rfam by way of RNAcentral. Lineage: Eukaryota; Metazoa; Chordata; Mammalia; Artiodactyla; Bovidae.
UGGCUCAGAGGUUAAAGCAUCUGCCUGCAGUGCAGGAGACCCGGGUUCGAUCCCUGG